This 400-nucleotide ribosomal RNA is filed under the name Nutomonas limna. Its description in RNAcentral is "Ancyromonas limna partial small subunit ribosomal RNA". It matches the Rfam family "Eukaryotic small subunit ribosomal RNA", at positions 30 to 432 of the family's 1831-position model. The record is from RNAcentral. Lineage: Eukaryota; Ancyromonadida; Planomonadidae.
GCUUGUCUCAAAGAUUAAGCCAUGCAUGUCUAAGUAUAAGCAACCUUAUACAGCGAAACUGCGUACAGCUCAUUAUAUCAGCAAUUAUUUAUUUGAAGAUCACCUAUUACAUGGAUAACCGUGGUAAUUCUAGAGCUAAUACAUGCGUCAAUGCCCGACUUUGGAAGGGCUGUGUUUAUUAGAUCCAAAACCAAUGCGGGGCAACCCGGUUACUGGUGAUUCAUAAUAACCUAUCGGACCGAAUGGCCUUGCGCCGUCGGUGCAUCAUUCAAAUUUCUGCCCUAUCAAUUUGUUGGUAGUAUAUAGGACUACCAAGAUGAUUACGGGUAACGGAGAAUUAGGGUUUGAUUCCGGAGAGGGAGCCUGAGAAACGGCUACCACAUCUAAGGAAGGCAGCAGG